This is a long non-coding RNA of Peromyscus maniculatus bairdii (prairie deer mouse), 960 nucleotides long. RefSeq lists it as uncharacterized. The record is from RefSeq and is a predicted model, not a curated record. NCBI's taxonomy places the organism in Eukaryota, Metazoa, Chordata, Mammalia, Rodentia, Cricetidae.
CCGGUUAACAGGGCUCUUGGAUAGUGAAACGCUAGGCAAAGUGAAAGAGCCAGCAGUGCUGGGGUUGGCAGGGACACUGUUUGCUGUGGCCAGACUCCAGAAUUAUACUUGGGAAUGUAGCAGGGACAGCAAGAAACACCGAAGAGCCCUGUGCCACCGGAGAAUCCUGUUCUUCAGGCUGGUCCUUCCUCCUGGACAGGGAGCUCACCAUGCAGCUACUCUCUGAUGGUGACAAGCACUGUUCUCAACUCCAUCAGAAGUCUUCCCUGUGUGCCCCACAAGGACAUCUGGAGUGCCGGUGAUGAGACGUAAGAUAGAAAAGUAAGAAAGUGGCCUGUUUGUAAGAGUUGAGCCAGGAACACCAUGUGUAACACAGAUGCAGUGACCUGGCAAAACUGCUACCAGAGUGUGGCAUCUACCCAUGCUUCCUCAAAGACUGAAAAGACUAAUUUCUCCUCAUACAUAUCAGCUGGCCUCACGAGGACACAGAAGGCUCUGGACCCAUCAUCUGGAUGAGGCUGCUGUGGAAAGGGGGAACAUUCACCCUGGGUAGAUGGAUCUUCUUCUUUGUCCCAACACAUUUACAUGAACUGGACAGAACUGGAGGGUUUGUAACAUUUAUCCUGGGUCCAAGAAACAGAACACAGUCUCUGAACCAAUAGAAACCACCAGAAAAUAUUACUAACCUAAAAAUACAUUCAUAUUCAGAGACACCCUUGCUUCACCAUAUUUCAGCUGGUUAGUAAAAUAAGAAUCAUCUUUAAACAAUCCCUACCACAUUUGAGUCUAACAUUCAGAAGACAUAUUUAAGGGACAUGUGAACAGUGAAGCUGAACACCCAGACACUGCUCAACACAAUAUGCACCUGGAGUCUGAACAGUUAGAACAAGCUGGAUAAUAAGCCACACUUUGCCCCCUGUCUCCAAAACUCCCUAAAAUUAAAGUACAUUUCAAAACCAA